This 634-nucleotide ribosomal RNA is filed under the name uncultured cyanobacterium. Its description in RNAcentral is "bacterial SSU rRNA". It matches the Rfam family "Bacterial small subunit ribosomal RNA", at positions 99 to 767 of the family's 1533-position model. Lineage: Bacteria; Bacillati; Cyanobacteriota. The record is from RNAcentral.
CGGACGGGUGAGUAACGCGUGAGAAUCUAACUUCAGGACGGGGACAACAGUUGGAAACGACUGCUAAUACCCGAUGUGCCGCAAGGUGAAACCUAAUUGGCCUGAAGAAGAGCUUGCGUCUGAUUAGCUAGUUGGUGGGGUAAAGGCCUACCAAGGCAACGAUCAGUAGCUGGUCUGAGAGGAUGAGCAGCCACACUGGGACUGAGACACGGCCCAGACUCCUACGGGAGGCAGCAGUGGGGAAUUUUCCGCAAUGGGCGAAAGCCUGACGGAGCAACGCCGCGUGAGGGAGGAAGGUCUUUGGAUUGUAAACCUCUUUUCUCAAGGAAGAAGUUCUGACGGUACUUGAGGAAUCAGCCUCGGCUAACUCCGUGCCAGCAGCCGCGGUAAUACGGGGGAGGCAAGCGUUAUCCGGAAUUAUUGGGCGUAAAGCGUCCGCAGGUGGUCAGCCAAGUCUGCCGUCAAAUCAGGUUGCUUAACGACCUAAAGGCGGUGGAAACUGGCAGACUAGAGAGCAGUAGGGGUAGCAGGAAUUCCCAGUGUAGCGGUGAAAUGCGUAGAGAUUGGGAAGAACAUCGGUGGCGAAAGCGUGCUACUGGGCUGUAUCUGACACUCAGGGACGAAAGCUAGGGGA